UUGAUUCUUCGGAGGAUUUGUUGGGCGUCNAGCGGCGGACGGGUGAGUAAUGCCUAGGAAAUUGCCUUGAUGUGGGGGAUAACCAUUGGAAACGAUGGCUAAUACCGCAUAAUGCCUACGGGCCAAAGAGGGGGANCUUCGGACCUCUCGCGUCAAGAUAUGCCUAGGUGGGAUUAGCUAGUUGGUGAGGUAAUGGCUCACCAAGGCGACGAUCCCUAGCUGGUCUGAGAGGAUGAUCAGCCACACUGGAACUGAGACACGGUCCAGACUCCUACGGGAGGCAGCAGUGGGGAAUAUUGCACAAUGGGCGAAAGCCUGAUGCAGCCAUGCCGCGUGUAUGAAGAAGGCCUUCGGGUUGUAAAGUACUUUCAGUUGUGAGGAAGGGUGUGUAGUUAAUAGCUGCGCAUCUUGACGUUAGCAACAGAAGAAGCACCGGCUAACUCCGUGCCAGCAGCCGCGGUAAUACGGAGGGUGCGAGCGUUAAUCGGAAUUACUGGGCGUAAAGCGCAUGCAGGUGGUUCAUUAAGUCAGAUGUGAAAGCCCGGGGCUCNACCUCGGAACUGCAUUUGAAACUGGUGAACUAGAGUGCUGUAGAGGGGGGUAGAAUUUCAGGUGUAGCGGUGAAAUGCGUAGAGAUCUGAAGGAAUACCAGUGGCGAAGGCGGCCCCCUG
RNAcentral lists this ribosomal RNA (671 nucleotides) under Vibrio sp. KR04-24. Its description in RNAcentral is "bacterial SSU rRNA". It matches the Rfam family "Bacterial small subunit ribosomal RNA", at positions 71 to 731 of the family's 1533-position model. Lineage: Bacteria; Pseudomonadati; Pseudomonadota; Gammaproteobacteria; Vibrionales; Vibrionaceae. The record is from RNAcentral.